AAAUGACAGUGUGUAUCGGAAAGU
RNAcentral lists this non-coding RNA (24 nucleotides) under Cricetulus griseus (Chinese hamster). The record is from RNAcentral. Lineage: Eukaryota; Metazoa; Chordata; Mammalia; Rodentia; Cricetidae.